GUUUGCACUAGUGCUCCAGG
This 20-nucleotide unclassified non-coding RNA is filed under the name Chlamydomonas reinhardtii. RNAcentral's name for it is "small RNA Cre_2106". Lineage: Eukaryota; Viridiplantae; Chlorophyta; Chlorophyceae; Chlamydomonadales; Chlamydomonadaceae. The record is from RNAcentral.